RNAcentral lists this long non-coding RNA (1348 nucleotides) under Callithrix jacchus (white-tufted-ear marmoset). RNAcentral's name for it is "lncRNA (ENSCJAG00000057709.2)". Lineage: Eukaryota; Metazoa; Chordata; Mammalia; Primates; Cebidae. The record is from RNAcentral.
AUGGUGGGAAAACAAUGGGAGUUAGAGAAGAAUCUGGGGAAGCCUCUAAAUGUUCCCAGUCUUGCUCUGGCAGCUGUUGGAGGCAGAUCACUUCCUUGUAUCGUGUUUAUGUGCAUAUCAAUGAAACGCUACAACUUUCCUAUUCUAAUCAACACUUGGCUGCUACUUCAGCUGAUUAUGGCCCUGGAUAAUUGCCACAGUGAAUCCCGUAUUUAGUGGAAACAAAAUAUAUUGAUGACAAACAUGUUUCUUAUCAAAAGUCAAAAAGAUGGAUCCGAAUUCAGAUCGUGCAGGAAAAACAAGUAUGUAAAUCAUUAUACAGACAAGAUGCAAAUUUACCGAGCCUGGGAAAAAUGAUGAGGACAGCUUCAAAUCUCAAGGAAGAGGUGGCGUCAGGCCUCAUUAUUAUAAAAGCUUGGCUAGUAAAUAGAUUUUUCAGGACAUGCUUGUGUGGAGGUGAAUAUUAAAUCACGAGCCCCCGGGAGGUGGCAGAGCGUGUGAGCGCCCGAUGAAUGUGGAGGAGCAGCUAAUGGGCUGGAAUCACUGAGGUCAUGAUUGUCAUUCCUCAUUGUGCUUCCAUGCCAGUUAUGCCUAAUCAGAUGAUUAAGCCGGUAAUUUAAGGCCAUAGGUUUUCUCUUUAUCUAGUCUAUGUGGCUUUACAGUUUAAAAAAAUGAUUUUGUUUUGACAUUAUGCACCUGAUCUGUUGUGUGUUCUAUGCAUAUGGAUAUCUUAGCCCAAAACAGUUCUCCAGGACUACACUCAGACAGAAAGACAGCACAUAGACGAACUCCUAACUUUCUUGGAAAUCCUACUUGAAAAGUGACUUCUGUGAUAGGUUAAAUUGUCUCCCUGCAAAGUAUCCAUGUCUCAACUCUUAAAACCCACGGAUGUUAAUUUGCAGAUUCGAUAAAGUUAAAUGUGUUGAGAUGAGAAGAUUGUCCUCCAUUACCUGGGUGGGCCCAAAAUUCCAUCACAUAUAUUCCCUUGUAAAAGGGAGAUGAGGGAGAUGUGACCACAGAAGAGAAUGAAGGGAUGUGGCCACAAGCCAAGGAUUGCAGCAGCUAUCAGAAGCUGGAAGAGACGAGAAAUGGAUUCUACCCAGGGGGCUCCAGAGCAGGGGUCCCCAACCCCAGGGCCGCACAGCAGGAGGUGAGCAGCUGGCCAGGGAGCAAAGCUUCACCUGUAUUGACAGCUGCUCCCCGUUGCUCACAUUAAGGCCUGAGCUCCACCUCCCGUCCUAUGACCGGAGGUAUUAGAUUCUCAGAGGAGGCGAACCUUAUUGUGAACUGUGCAUGGGAGGGAUCUAGGUUGCAUGCUCCUCAUGAGAAUCUAAUGCCUGAUGAUCUG